This 337-nucleotide ribosomal RNA is filed under the name uncultured Anoxybacillus sp. RNAcentral's name for it is "bacterial SSU rRNA". It matches the Rfam family "Bacterial small subunit ribosomal RNA", at positions 1044 to 1382 of the family's 1533-position model. The record is from RNAcentral. Lineage: Bacteria; Bacillati; Bacillota; Bacilli; Caryophanales; Anoxybacillaceae.
CAUGGUUGUCGUCAGCUCGUGUCGUGAGAUGUUGGGUUAAGUCCCGCAACGAGCGCAACCCUCGACCUUAGUUGCCAGCAUUCAGUUGGGCACUCUAAGGUGACUGCCGGCUAAAAGUCGGAGGAAGGUGGGGAUGACGUCAAAUCAUCAUGCCCCUUAUGACCUGGGCUACACACGUGCUACAAUGGGCGGUACAAAGGGUCGCGAACCCGCGAGGGGGAGCCAAUCCCAAAAAGCCGCUCUCAGUUCGGAUUGCAGGCUGCAACUCGCCUGCAUGAAGCCGGAAUCGCUAGUAAUCGCGGAUCAGAAUGCCGCGGUGAAUACGUUCCCGGGCCUU